This is a long non-coding RNA of Dicentrarchus labrax (European seabass), 948 nucleotides long. RefSeq lists it as uncharacterized. The transcript has 4 exons. The record is from RefSeq and is a predicted model, not a curated record. Lineage: Eukaryota; Metazoa; Chordata; Actinopteri; Moronidae.
CAACGCUGUAUCCAGUUCUCUCUUAUUACAUUAAUGACUCCCUUUGUAGACAUACACAGCGAACAGCUCAUUCUAAGUCUCAAGACUGCAAGAGUCUUUACGCAGAGUCGAUGCAGAGGGAGUCUACAUGAGACGUCUGAGGCUGCGUGUAUUAAGACGACGGUAGUAUUCUGUUCCUGGCCCAAACUCUUUGUGGCAUAUAGAUGGCAACCAUAAGCUCAUCAGAAUAAAGAGGAUGUGGAAAGAUGUUUAUGAACAUGCCCUGGACCUCUUCUAUCAGAUCUUCACUUCAUUGGAAGAUCAGGGAACACUGAAUCCAGACAAUGAAGUCCAUCGUUUCGCACUGCACCGGAUCUUCCUUCCACUAAUUCAGCAAAGCUUUGACUCUUUCCGAGAUGCUUGGGACUUUCAUGGUCUUAGAACUGAAAGAAAUCAGUCGCCACAGCAACUCUGGAGAAGAUACAGAGAGCAAGGCCCUAUGGAGGAUCCUAGUGAGGUUCCUGAAGAGUAUGGGAUCAACUGGAACGGACCUCACAGUCUUCAUGGAGGCGCAGUGUCAGUCUCCAAGGUUCAGCUGGCCCGUGAACUCUCAGAUGAAGAGGUUGCCAUUUUGCCAGCUCCAGGAGUUUCUGUAACUGAUGCACUUAGAUUAUAUGGAGAGAUUUUGCAAAUUUGAUCAAGAAUCAUAGGAGACUGUUGUCCAACCCUGGCUUUUAUUUAGCGUGUUAGAACAAGCAAGGAUAAUCUGAAAAAGUUAGCUUUUUCCUUCAAAAAAAAUAAAAUUAAAAAAAGCUGUUUUAUCCAAACUGGAGUUUGGAUAUCAUUGUUGUCAUAAAGGACCGCAUCACUCCCUCUCCGACAGCAACAUCACCUGAAAUAAAAUACUGAUAAUAACACAGUGGAAAUACAAUGGCUGACUAAUACAGGUAACUGGAUUAUGUAACAUUU